This 429-nucleotide ribosomal RNA is filed under the name Gemmatimonadota bacterium. Its description in RNAcentral is "Gemmatimonadetes bacterium partial 16S ribosomal RNA". It matches the Rfam family "Bacterial small subunit ribosomal RNA", at positions 355 to 776 of the family's 1533-position model. The record is from RNAcentral. Lineage: Bacteria; Pseudomonadati; Gemmatimonadota.
UAGGGAAUCUUCGGCAAUGGACGAAAGUCUGACCGAGCAACGCCGCGUGAGUGAAGAAGGUUUUCGGAUCGUAAAACUCUGUUGUUAGAGAAGAACAAGGACGUUAGUAACUGAACGUCCCCUGACGGUAUCUAACCAGAAAGCCACGGCUAACUACGUGCCAGCAGCCGCGGUAAUACGUAGGUGGCAAGCGUUGUCCGGAUUUAUUGGGCGUAAAGCGAGCGCAGGCGGUUUCUUAAGUCUGAUGUGAAAGCCCCCGGCUCAACCGGGGAGGGUCAUUGGAAACUGGGAGACUUGGGUGCAGAAGAGGAGAGUGGAAUUCCAUGUGUAGCGGUGAAAUGCGUAGAUAUAUGGAGGAACACCAGUGGCGAAGGCGGCUCUCUGGACUGUAACUGACGCUGAGGCUCGAAAGCGUGGGGAGCAAACAGG